This is a non-coding RNA of Danio rerio (zebrafish), 2910 nucleotides long. Lineage: Eukaryota; Metazoa; Chordata; Actinopteri; Cypriniformes; Danionidae. The record is from RefSeq and is a predicted model, not a curated record.
GUUGCAAUGUAGUUUAAAAAAAUCACCACAGGAGGACGCAUUAGUCAAUUUGUUGCAAUGUAGUUUAUAAAAAUCACCACAGGAGGGCGCAUUAGUCAAUUUGUUGUGAUGUAGUUUACAAAAAAUCAUCACAGGAGGGCGCAAUGGUCAUUUGUAGCAAUGUAGUUUUCAAAAAUCACUACAUGAUGGAACAAUCAAUUAGACAGCAUGUAGCUACACAGACUCAGUGGUGCAAGUAGUAAUGAGCUGUGAUUUAAAUCAUGACGUCGUUAGUUCGAAUCCUAUUAACAAUUAUGUUAAAUUGUGAUCAUCACAUGCAACAAAAUCACAUAAAUGCCACAGUAGACAGAGAGUUCAUUGUGGGUGAGUGGACAAGCAUGUGCUCUCUGAGAAUAAGAUGACAAUGAAGACAUGGGUUCACACCAUGCUUACAGGUUACUUUACUUUGUUUACUAUUAAAAUCACAGCUCAGCUCGAGUCAAACAUCAGUUCCAGCAGGUGUUCAGACAGGAGAUCUGUGGCUCUGUGGUAAGAGCGCUGCCCCACGGCUUCAGGGGUUGCUGGUAUUGGUCCCAGCCAGAACUCUGCGAUAUGUGUGAAUGGCGGCAUCAGCGAGCUGCUCUUUUAGCCUGAACACCUUUGACAACAGCGCCACAGAUCAUCACAGGUACACCGUUUUACUGGCGUCAAGUCCAGCAGAUGACAGCUCAGUGACAGACUCAUAAUGUCAGUCAACAGCACAUAUUACAGCCCGACAGUGAAGAAAAGCGACACAAAGUGCAGAAAUGGAGAGUAACGCGACUCACCUGUAAGUGACUUUGUUUCGGUGGGUUUGUUUGUAGUGAUGUUGCUGUAGUGUUUGUGUUCAGGCAUUGCUCUCUCUCCUCCUCUGCAGCAGUGAAGAUACACACGUGUGUCUGUUGUGUUUCUGCUGCACAUCUUUCCUCUUUCUGACGCUCCUCCACACACUCCUCCACAUCCAGGCGGAUUCACAGCUCCAGUAAAGGAGAGACUUUCUGUGUAGCAGCAGCUGCCAGUCUGGACGUAGAUUACACCAGUAUUCAACCAGUUUCUGAUUAGACGGCUGAGAGUACAAGAAACAGCCUUGAGGAUGAAACAGGUCGUUCCCUGUAGAGCGGCACGGUAUUGGAAAUAUAUCACAAUGUGAUGUUUAGUUUUCUGUGAUUUAUACUGUGAUAAGAGUACAAUUUCACCAGAUGACUUGAACGGCUCUGUGUGUACAGAAUUGAUCAUUUUAGAUUGAUUGGGAUGAUUCUGUAGAUUUAUUAUGCACACUAUAAUUGCUGUGUUUUUGUUAUUGUAAGGCAGCGAGAUCGGCCAGCAAACUCUAUGCGAGUGUCACAGAACGGCAAACUAUCUUCAGUAAAUUCUCUUAAUCUUACUGAGUCUCCAGCUCAGAGGCUUCUCUUAAUCGGACACACCAGUCGUUUUGGUCUCACCUGUUAAUUUCCCUCCUCACAACGUGUGUGUGUGUGUGUGUGUGUGUGUGUGUGUGUGUGUGUGUGUGUGUGUGUGUGUGUGUGUGUUUAACCACUUUUCACCUUUUAAAGCUUAAACUCAAACAUCUGAUCAUUCAUAAGGGAUUAUUUUAGCUCUUUUUAUACAGAAAUUCAGGACAAAUUAUUGAUUAACAAUGUGGAAAUAUCAAACCAAUAUAAAUGUAACAUAAAACAAUUCCCAAAAGCUGAUGACUACAGACUUGACAUCAAAUAUCAAUAAAUGAAGUGCAAAACAUAAAUAUUGAACUUUUUAGCUCGUGACUUUCUCACUAUGAUGUUCUUCACUCCAGAUCGUCUUUUAGCCUGUAUGUAAUUAAUGCACCUCUCAUCAAUAAACACAUUUAAUAUAUUUGACGAGCUUUUAUAUUGGGGAUGCAGAAUGUUUUCAUUGCUUACAGAUUUAAUUGACCAACAGAAAUAUGAUCAUAAAUGCCUUAUAAAGAUGACUGGCUGCUUUUUAAAUGUUUAUAUAUUGUAGUAAGCCAUUAAUCAAGUUUAGAAUUAUAAGUAUUUUUGUUGCUGUAUGAAAACAACCAGUGGAUGAAAAAAAUCUUCUGAACUCAGCAAGAGGCAUUAAAGCGCAGUUUCCAUCCGCUCCACUAGGCGGCAUCAACGAGCUGCUCUUAGCCUGAACACCUUUGACAACAGCGCCACAGAUCAUCACAGGUACACCGUUUUACUGGCGUCAAGUUGAGCUCCAGCAGAUGACAGCUCAGUGACAGACUCAUAAUGUCAGUCAACAGCACAUAUUACAGCCCGACAGUGAAGAAAAGCGACACAAAGUGCAGAAAUGGAGAGUAACGCGACUCACCUGUAAGUGACUUUGUUUCGGUGGGUUUGUUUGUAGUGAUGUUGCUGUAGUGUUUGUGUUCAGGCAUUGCUCUCUCUCCUCCUCUGCAGCAGUGAAGAUACACACGUGUGUCUGUUGUGUUUCUGCUGCACAUCUUUCCUCUUUCUGACGCUCCUCCACACACUCCUCCACAUCCAGGCGGAUUCACAGCUCCAGUAAAGCUCACACACAGGUCAGCAGCCAAACAUCAGUUCCAGCAGGUGUUCAGACAGGAGAUCUGUGGCUCUGUGGUAAGAGCGCUGCCCCACGGCUUCAGGGGUUGCUGGUAACGGUCCCAGCCAGAACUCUGCGAUAUGUGUGAAUGGUGAGUGAGUGUGAGGCGCGCCUGAAGAAGGGGGGAUACCAGUUCGGUCUCCCCCUGGAGCUUCCGGAGCCGUGUCCAGCAGGGGUUAUACUUUACAGCCUGCCAAAAAAUUUAAAAUGAACUGUAUAAAAAUUCUAGACCUUCGUCCCUUCCCCACCCGUUUCGGUUACCAUCAUUUACUUUCUAGAGGAGUGACCCUCCACAAAGCAAAUGAUGGUAACCGACAUGUGGAACAC